This is a long non-coding RNA of Vitis riparia (riverbank grape), 730 nucleotides long. RefSeq lists it as uncharacterized. The transcript has 2 exons. Lineage: Eukaryota; Viridiplantae; Streptophyta; Magnoliopsida; Vitales; Vitaceae. The record is from RefSeq and is a predicted model, not a curated record.
GGGGGAUGGCAGCCAUGCUGGUGGUUGAAAAACACCAUGCUGCUGAUGGGUGAACAGGAGAGUUGGUGAUGGCUUGUGAAAGAAGGGAGAAACAGGGAAAAAGAAAAGCUAACGGGGGGAUCCGGGGAGAGCAGCUGAAAAAAGAAAAAUCUGAGGGAGAAGGAGGAGGACUUUUGGGGCAAAAGGGAUCUUGGAGAAAAAACAGAGCAGAAACGGAGAAAAUAGAAAAAAAACAGAGUAAGGAAGGAGGGUGGAAGACAAGUGAAUCCGGAUCAAUGAGACACCCCAGUUUCUUUCAAAUUUCUAAUCGGAAUCAGAUUCUCACCGGGAAAGACAGUAUGUGACGACACGCCUGACUCCCCGCGUGCAUGGCGUGCCGACUCCAUCAUCUCCGUGGUUGGUCUCCUCACUGCCGUCGGCAACGGCGGCAGCAGCUAUGAGGACAAUCCUCUCGCGUGGAGGGUUGCGACGUCGAGUUAUAGUCCGCACCAACCACCCUUUAAGGCGCAUGUAGUGGCCAUCAUUGCCUCGUUUCCUAACUCCCAGCACUAAGAGUUUUAUUUUUCUUUGUUUAUUUUAUUUUAGUCAUUCUCUUUUCCUUUGUUUCACAUUGUCAAAUGACCCCUAUAAAAUCCCUUAAAAUUUCAAAGUCCUAGAUUUACUGAUCUAUUCAUUUGUUCUCAAAAAUAUAUUUAUAUUUAUGUAGCAUUUCCGAAAUAACCUUCUCAAA